This 480-nucleotide ribosomal RNA is filed under the name uncultured bacterium. Its description in RNAcentral is "partial 16S ribosomal RNA". It matches the Rfam family "Bacterial small subunit ribosomal RNA", at positions 28 to 507 of the family's 1533-position model. The record is from RNAcentral.
GAUGAACGCUGGCGGCGUGCUUAACACAUGCAAGUCGAACGAAGCAUUUAGAACAGAUUACUUCGGUUUGAAGUUCUUUAUGACUGAGUGGCGGACGGGUGAGUAACGCGUGGGUAACCUGCCUUGUACUGGGGGAUAGCAGCUGGAAACGGCUGGUAAUACCGCAUAAGCGCACAAUGUUGCAUGACAUGGUGUGAAAAACUCCGGUGGUAUAAGAUGGACCCGCGUCUGAUUAGCUAGUUGGUGAGAUAACAGCCCACCAAGGCGACGAUCAGUAGCCGACCUGAGAGGGUGACCGGCCACAUUGGGACUGAGACACGGCCCAGACUCCUACGGGAGGCAGCAGUGGGGAAUAUUGCACAAUGGAGGAAACUCUGAUGCAGCGACGCCGCGUGAGUGAAGAAGUAAUUCGGUAUGUAAGCUCUAUCAGCAGGGAAGAUAGUGACGGUACCUGACUAAGAAGCUCCGGCUAAAUACGUG